AGAGCUCAAAUUUGUAAUCUGGCACCUUCGGUGUCCGAGUUGUAAUCUCGAGAAGUGUUUUCCGCGCCGGACCGCAUACAAGUCUGUUGGAAUACAGCGUCAUAGUGGUGAGAACCCCGUAACUGAUGCGGAUGCCCGGUGCUUUGUGAUACACUUUCGAAGAGUCGAGUUGUUUGGGAAUGCAGCUCAAAUUGGGUGGUAAAUUCCAUCUAAAGCUAAAUAUUGGCGAGAGACCGAUAGCGAACAAGUACCGUGAGGGAAAGAUGAAAAGCACUUUGGAAAGAGAGUUAACAGUACGUGAAAUUGUUGGAAGGGAAACGCUUGAAGUCAGACUUGCUAUUUGGAAUUCAGCCGCAAGGUGUACUUUUCAAUUCGCAGGCCAGCAUCAGUUUUCGGGGGUGGAAAAGGGUAGAGAGAAGGUAGCAAUUUCGGUUGUGUUAUAGCUCUUUGCUGGAUUCAUCCUUGGGGACUGAGGAACGCAGCACGCUUUUUGCAAGGCUUUCGAGCUUUUCGUGCUUAGGAUGCUGGUGGAAUGGCUUUAAACGACCCGUCUUGAAACACGGACC
RNAcentral lists this ribosomal RNA (566 nucleotides) under Phenoliferia psychrophenolica. RNAcentral describes it as "eukaryotic LSU rRNA". It matches the Rfam family "Eukaryotic large subunit ribosomal RNA", at positions 104 to 667 of the family's 3401-position model. Lineage: Eukaryota; Fungi; Basidiomycota; Microbotryomycetes; Kriegeriales; Kriegeriaceae. The record is from RNAcentral.